UUAAUGCUGAGAUGUGAAUGCGAGGAGGUUACGACCUCCGGAGUGGUUGAUGCUAUGCUUCCAAGAAAAGCUUCUAAGCUAUAGUGAUAUGAGAACCGUACCCCAAACCGACACUGGUGGUUGGGAUGAGAAUUCUAAGGCGCUUGAGAGAACUCGGGUGAAGGAACUCGGCAAAAUCGUACCGUAACUUCGGGAGAAGGUACACCUUCCUUGGUGAAUGCUUUACGCAGUAAGCUGAGGAGGGUCGCAGUGAAAAGCUGGCUGCAACUGUUUAUCAAAAACACAGGACUCUGCAAACACGAAAGUGGACGUAUAGGGUCUGACGCCUGCCCGGUGCUGGAAGGUUAAUUGAUGGGGUUAGCGUAAGCGAAGCUCUUGAUCGAAGCCCCAGUAAACGGCGGCCGUAACUAUAACGGUCCUAAGGUAGCGAAAUUCCUUGUCGGGUAAGUUCCGACCUGCACGAAUGGCGCAAUGACGGCCAGGCUGUCUCCACCCGAGACUCAGUGAAAUUGAAAUCGCCGUGAAGAUGCGGUGUACCCGCGGCAAGACGGAAAGACCCCGUGAACCUUUACUAUAGCUUUACAGUGGAUUUUGAAUCUUUUUGUGCAGGAUAGGUGGGAGGCUUUGAAGCUAAGACGCUAGUUUUAGUGGAGCCAUCCUUGAAAUACCACCCUGAAAGUUUUGGAAUUCUAACUUAGAUCCAUCAUCUGGAUUAAGGACAUUGUAUGGUAGGUAGUUUGACUGGGGCGGUCUCCUCCGAAAGAGUAACGGAGGAGUACGAAGGUACCCUCAGCCCGGUCGGAAAUCGGGCUAUUGAGUGCAAAAGCAAAAGGGUGCUUGACUGCGAGACAGACACGUCGAGCAGGUACGAAAGUAGGUUUUAGUGAUCCGGUGGUUCUGUAUGGAAAGGCCAUCGCUCAACGGAUAAAAGGUACUCCGGGGAUAACAGGCUGAUUCCGCCCAAGAGUUCAUAUCGACGGCGGAGUUUGGCACCUCGAUGUCGACUCAUCACAUCCUGGGGCUGUAGUCGGUCCCAAGGGUAUGGCUGUUCGCCAUUUAAAGUGGUACGCGAGUUGGGUUCAGAACGUCGUGAGACAGUUCGGUCCCUAUCUGCCGUGGGCGUUGGAAAUUUGAGAGGAGCUGCUUCUAGUACGAGAGGACCGAAGUGGACGUAUCUCUGGUGGUCCGGUUGUCAUACCAAUGGCAUAGCCGGGUAGCUACAUACGGACGGGAUAACCGCUGAAAGCAUCUAAGCGGGAAGCCCACCUCAAGAUUAGAUUUCCCUAGGGGUUUAACCCCUCUGAAGGUCCGUCGAAGACUACGACGUUGAUAGGUUGGGUGUGUAAGUGCAGUAAUGCAUUGAGCUUACCAAUACUAAUUGACCGUGAGGCUUGACCAUAUAAUAG
This 1406-nucleotide ribosomal RNA is filed under the name Ignatzschineria cameli. RNAcentral's name for it is "bacterial LSU rRNA". It matches the Rfam family "Bacterial large subunit ribosomal RNA", at positions 1550 to 2925 of the family's 2925-position model. Lineage: Bacteria; Pseudomonadati; Pseudomonadota; Gammaproteobacteria; Cardiobacteriales; Ignatzschineriaceae. The record is from RNAcentral.